RNAcentral lists this unclassified non-coding RNA (266 nucleotides) under uncultured fungus. Its description in RNAcentral is "partial contains 5.8S ribosomal RNA, internal transcribed spacer 2, and large subunit ribosomal RNA". The stretch from base 1 to 52 matches the Rfam family "5.8S ribosomal RNA", at positions 103 to 154 of the family's 154-position model. Lineage: Eukaryota; Fungi. The record is from RNAcentral.
AACGCACCUUGCGCCUCUUGGUAUUCCGAGAGGCAUGCCUGUUUGAGUGUCAUGAAACCUCAAUCCCCUAUGGUUUUCUGAACCGUCGGUGGACUUGGAAAUGGGCGUCUGCCUCACAAGGCUCGCCUCAAAUGACUUAGUGGGAACUUCUUGACCUACGCCUGACGUGAUAAGUUUCGUCUCGGCCGGUCCUGAGGCCCGCUCACAACCAACCACAUCUUUUUGACAUUGACCUCAAAUCAGGUAGGGCUACCCGCUGAACUUAA